AAGUAGUGAAGUAAUAAAUUACAUUUAGUUUCGACCUAAAAAUAGAGCAAGCUCCUUACUUU
This 62-nucleotide transfer RNA is filed under the name Quercophylus gonoporospinus. RNAcentral's name for it is "tRNA-Arg". The record is from RNAcentral. RNAcentral also lists the same sequence under 1 other name. Lineage: Eukaryota; Metazoa; Arthropoda; Insecta; Hemiptera; Miridae.